CAAGUCGAACGAAGCAUCUUACCGGAUUCUUCGGAUGAAAGUUUGGUGACUGAGUGGCGGACGGGUGGGUAACGCGUGGGUAACCUGCCCUGUACAGGGGGAUAACAGCUGGAAACGGCUGCUAAUACCGCAUAAGCGCACGAGGAGACAUCUCCUAGUGUGAAAAACUCCGGUGGUACAGGAUGGGCCCGCGUCUGAUUAGCUGGUUGGCAGGGUAACGGCCUACCAAGGCAACGAUCAGUAGCCGGUCUGAGAGGAUGAACGGCCACAUUGGAACUGAGACACGGUCCAAACUCCUACGGGAGGCAGCAGUGGGGAAUAUUGCACAAUGGGGGAAACCCUGAUGCAGCAACGCCGCGUGAGUGAAGAAGUAUUUCGGUAUGUAAAGCUCUAUCAGCAGGGAAGAUAAUGACGGUACCUGACUAAGAAGCUCCGGCUAAAUACGUGCCAGCAGCCGCGGUAAUACGUAUGGAGCAAGCGUUAUCCGGAUUUACUGGGUGUAAAGGGUGCGUAGGUGGCAGUGCAAGUCAGAUGUGAAAGGCCGGGGCUCAACCCCGGAGCUGCAUUUGAAACUGCUCGGCUAGAGUACAGGAGAGGCAGGCGGAAUUCCUAGUGUAGCGGUGAAAUGCGUAGAUAUUAGGAGGAACACCAGUGGCGAAGGCGGCCUGCUGGACUGUUACUG
This 682-nucleotide ribosomal RNA is filed under the name uncultured Lachnospiraceae bacterium. RNAcentral describes it as "bacterial SSU rRNA". It matches the Rfam family "Bacterial small subunit ribosomal RNA", at positions 58 to 742 of the family's 1533-position model. Lineage: Bacteria; Bacillati; Bacillota; Clostridia; Lachnospirales; Lachnospiraceae. The record is from RNAcentral.